This is a non-coding RNA of 387 nucleotides. It matches the Rfam family "transfer-messenger RNA". From Rfam's summary of the family: Bacterial tmRNA, also known as 10Sa RNA or SsrA, is named for its dual tRNA and mRNA-like properties. The record is from Rfam.
GGGGGCGUAUUGGUUUCGACGGGAUUGUUGAAGCUUGAGUAGCGGGUAGAGGAUUCUCGUUGGCCUCUUUAAAAAACGAGAAACUAAAAUAAACGCUAACGAAGAUAAUUACGCUUUAGCUGCUGCCUAAUAUAGGCAGCCCGUCAGUCCAGGGUUCCUGCGCCUUGGGUAGCUGGCGUCAUUAAGUCAGGCCUUUUGAGUGGGAAGGUUAAACUCUAGAACUGUCACAGUGGUAGCCUUGAGCUGUGAUGGAUUUUAAAGGCUACUGAUAUCCAAAGCCUGCCCAUGGGCGUUGGGUUGAGGGAAUUUUUAAAACAUGGGCUGCACCCGGAGAAGCUCUUGUGGAUACGAUUUCGGACAGGGGUUCGACUCCCCUCGCCUCCACCA